CAGUAGCCGCGGGAAUACGAAGGGUGCAAGCGUUAAUCGGAAUUACUGGGCGUAAAGCGUGCGUAGGCGGUGAGUUAAGUCUGCUGUGAAAUCCCCGGGCUCAACCUGGGAAUGGCAGUGGAUACUGGCUCGCUAGAGUGUGUCAGAGGAUGGCGGAAUUCCCGGUGUAGCGGUGAAAUGCGUAGAGAUCGGGAGGAACAUCAGUGGCGAAGGCGGCCAUCUGGGACAACACUGACGCUGAGACACGAAAGCGUGGGGAGCAAACAGGAUUAGAUACCCGCGUAGUCCCUGUCUCUUAUAC
This 301-nucleotide ribosomal RNA is filed under the name uncultured bacterium. RNAcentral's name for it is "partial 16S ribosomal RNA". It matches the Rfam family "Bacterial small subunit ribosomal RNA", at positions 509 to 807 of the family's 1533-position model. The record is from RNAcentral.